Molecule: ribosomal RNA, 425 nt
Filed under: uncultured prokaryote
Description: bacterial SSU rRNA
Rfam family: Bacterial small subunit ribosomal RNA
Source: RNAcentral
UGGGGAAUUUUCCGCAAUGGGGGCAACCCUGACGGAGCAACGCCGCGUGAGGGAAGACGGUUUGUGGACUGUAAACCUCUUUUAAUAGGGAAGAAUUUUGACGGUACCUAUUGAAUAAGCAUCGGCUAACUCCGUGCCAGCAGCCGCGGUAAUACGGAGGAUGCAAGCGUUAUCCGGAAUUAUUGGGCGUAAAGCGUCCGCAGGUGGUUAAUCAAGUCAGCUGUGAAAUAUUCGGGCUUAACUCGGAAUAUGCGGUUGAUACUGAUUGACUAGAGUACGGUAGGGGUAGAGGGAAUUCCUAGUGUAGCGGUGAAAUGCGUAGAUAUUAGGAAGAACACCAGUGGCGAAGGCGCUCUACUGGGCCUGUACUGACACUGAGGGACGAAAGCUAGGGGAGCGAAAGGGAUUAGAUACCCCCGUAGUCG